RNAcentral lists this ribosomal RNA (253 nucleotides) under uncultured bacterium. RNAcentral describes it as "partial 16S ribosomal RNA". It matches the Rfam family "Bacterial small subunit ribosomal RNA", at positions 524 to 776 of the family's 1533-position model. The record is from RNAcentral.
UACGAAGGGGGCUAGCGUUGCUCGGAAUCACUGGGCGUAAAGGGCGCGUAGGCGGCCAGAUUAGUCAGGCGUGAAAGCCCUGGGCUCAACCUGGGGACUGCGCUUGAGACGGUAUGGCUUGAGGGUGGAAGAGGCUCGCGGAAUUCCCAGUGUAGAGGUGAAAUUCGUAGAUAUUGGGAAGAACACCGGUGGCGAAGGCGGCGAGCUGGGACGGUACUGACGCUGAGACGCGAAAGCGUGGGGAGCGAACAGG